This 62-nucleotide small nuclear RNA is filed under the name Sorex araneus (European shrew). Its description in RNAcentral is "U7 small nuclear RNA (ENSSARG00000018801.1)". It matches the Rfam family "U7 small nuclear RNA". Rfam says of the family: Animal histone pre-mRNAs are spliced by a different mechanism than nuclear pre-mRNAs and self-splicing introns. This processing involves the U7 snRNP, which contains only one RNA species: U7. Lineage: Eukaryota; Metazoa; Chordata; Mammalia; Eulipotyphla; Soricidae. The record is from RNAcentral.
UCAUGCUAUGGCUCUUUUAGAAUUCGUCUAGCAGGUCUUCCGGUUGCCACAGCAAAGCCACU